RNAcentral lists this transfer RNA (74 nucleotides) under Planctomycetales bacterium. RNAcentral describes it as "tRNA-Pro". It matches the Rfam family "tRNA". Rfam says of the family: Transfer RNA (tRNA) molecules are approximately 80 nucleotides in length. Their secondary structure includes four short double-helical elements and three loops (D, anti-codon, and T loops). Further hydrogen bonds mediate the characteristic L-shaped molecular structure. tRNAs have two regions of fundamental functional importance: the anti-codon, which is responsible for specific mRNA codon recognition, and the 3' end, to which the tRNAs corresponding amino acid is attached (by aminoacyl-tRNA synthetases). tRNAs cope with the degeneracy of the genetic code in two manners: having more than one tRNA (with a specific anti-codon) for a particular amino acid; and 'wobble' base-pairing, i.e. permitting non-standard base-pairing at the 3rd anti-codon position. The record is from RNAcentral. Lineage: Bacteria; Pseudomonadati; Planctomycetota; Planctomycetia; Planctomycetales.
CAGAACGUAGCGAAGCUUGGUAUCGCGCUUGGCUGGGGGCCAAGAGAUCGUCGGUUCGAGUCCGACCGUUCUGA